UGGGGAAUUUUGGACAAUGGGCGAAAGCCUGAUCCGGCCAUGCCGCGUGAGUGAAGAAGGCCUUCGGGUUGUAAAGCUCUUUUAGUCGGAAAGAAAGAGUUGCAAUGAAUAAUUGUGAUUUAUGACGGUACCGACAGAAAAAGCACCGGCUAACUACGUGCCAGCAGCCGCGGUAAUACGUAGGGUGCGAGCGUUAAUCGGAAUUACUGGGCGUAAAGGGUGCGCAGGCGGUCUUGCAAGUCAGAUGUGAAAGCCCCGGGCUUAACCUGGGAAUUGCGUUUGAAACUACAAGACUAGAGUGCAGCAGAGGGGAGUGGAAUUCCAUGUGUAGCAGUGAAAUGCGUAGAGAUGUGGAAGAACACCGAUGGCGAAGGCAGCUCCCUGGGUUGACACUGACGCUCAUGCACGAAAGCGUGGGGAGCAAACA
Molecule: ribosomal RNA, 427 nt
Filed under: uncultured beta proteobacterium
Lineage: Bacteria; Pseudomonadati; Pseudomonadota; Betaproteobacteria
Description: bacterial SSU rRNA
Rfam family: Bacterial small subunit ribosomal RNA
Source: RNAcentral